CUGCAGCCCGAGUGGUGAUCGAUUUUAUUGAGCCUAAAGCGUCCGUAGCCGGACUAGUAAACCCUUGGGUAAGUUGGGCAGCUUAACUGUCCAAAUUCCGAGGGGACUGCUAGUCUUGGGACCGGGAGAGGUCAGAGGUACUCAAGGGGUAGGGGCUAAAUCCUGUAAUCCUUUGGGGACCACCAGUGGCGAAGGCGUCUGACCAGAACGGAUCCGACGGUAAGGGACGAAACCCUGGGGCGCGAACCGGAUUAGAUACCCGAGUAGUCC
Molecule: ribosomal RNA, 270 nt
Filed under: uncultured archaeon
Lineage: Archaea
Description: partial 16S ribosomal RNA
Rfam family: Archaeal small subunit ribosomal RNA
Source: RNAcentral